Molecule: non-coding RNA, 1432 nt
Organism: Sturnus vulgaris (Common starling)
Lineage: Eukaryota; Metazoa; Chordata; Aves; Passeriformes; Sturnidae
Source: RefSeq, a predicted model, not a curated record
UUGCCAUUUAAAAUGUAUUUAGCCUAUUUUUAGUUAGCAUGAAGGGGUUUACCUACCAUUGCUCAGGGCUAUGAAGGUUGGGCUAAGACUCAGGAGACCCUGAUUCAAUCCAAAGUGUUCUUUGUGACAGUGGAAAAGUCUUAAUUUGUGCUGAUAGCUCACUGGCCUGAUGGCGAAUUAUUCCUUGCUGUAAGGCAGGGAUUCCAUUAGCUGUAAAGUGCUCAAAAUCGGCUACUUAAAAAACAUCAGUGUUUUCUCAGGUUUUAUUAUUAAUAUAUGUCACUAAUAACAAUUUACAUCAGACUUAUUCACUGAUAACUAGAGGCCCUUAAAUCAAAACAUUACACAAUGUGCAACAUAUAUAUCUUUGCCCCUCUUUCAUGAAUUCUUUUAAACAUCUAAGUCUGACCUAAUUCAAAAUUAUAUAUCUCAGGUAUGUAUCUCAGAUUAAAACAUGUUUCAGACCCACUGGAAAAGUUAUGAUACUAAAGACCUCCUUUUUAUUAUUUCCCCUCACAACUUCACCUUGCAACACUUUCUUAAUUGCAAAACAAUUUUGGCUUGAACUUCUGUGUCUCAGUCUGCUGUACUGUGACCUAAAGAACAGUACAUACACAUGCAGAAAUUAACUGGUCCCUUAGGAGUACUCUUGUGCUGGAGAGUGAAGGAGGAGAAGGCAGAUUUGCAAAUAGCUAUAUUUUCUUUCACCAACUUAAUUGCUUCUGUUUGGAACUUUUAAAAUCUCACCUUACCAUGCAGUCAUUUUCAAAGUGAGCACAGCAUGAGUGACCCAAAAAAAAUCUGUUUGCUUUUUUAUUAUAAUUUUGGUUGUGAUAUUUUAUUAGUGGAGGCUGCAACACCUCAGAGGAGUAACAGUCGGCUGGUUGUGGCACUUCUGGCAUUUCCUAGAUUAUACUCUGAUUAACUCUGCUAUAUUAAUAAAGACCUUUUAAUAUGCUUUUGUGAGAGUAAUUUCCUAGGGAUUUCAGGGAAGCAUAUUGAAAAACAAACUGCAUCACACAGCAUCACACUGACACUUCUGUGAGUCGUCAGAGUUGGACCUUUGGAUCUCUAGCAGGCAGAGCAUGUCUCUGAAGCUGUGGAACGACCUUGACAGAGCAAGCAGUGCUUACCAGGCAUAAGUAUCUCUGCUGAGGGCAUGGCAAAGGCCAGGGGAUCCUGUCAACACAGCUGAAAGAUACUGCUACUCAACAGGAGCUUCCUUGGUGCAACAGAAAGCUUUACUAUAGGAAUGAAGGUCUGGAACUUCUGCAUGGCUGUCAAGAGAGACCAAGUUGGCAACGGGUCAGAACAAUAUAUUUCCUGAACAGAACCUACACCAAUGGACAUCUGAUCACACAAAAGUCUUGUAUAUUCCAGCCCCAAUGCACUGUAUCAGAAAUACUUCUGCUGCUCUGUAUUUCCCGUUUCU